AACCACAAAUGUUGCUCCUAAUGGUACUGCUCAGAGUAACAGCGGAACUGCUCCCCUUGGGUCAAGCUACCAGAAUUCAUCACUGACCCCUGAUGGAACCUAUAGGGCACCCUUGCUAGGUGGAGUCCCUUCUACUGGUUACGUGGACUCAACCUAUGGGUAUGACACCACAGGGGCACACUAUGCUUGGUAUGAUGGUUCUGCCUAUACCAAUGCACAGCAAAGACCAACUACAGCUAAUUACACGCCGUCU
Molecule: long non-coding RNA, 253 nt
Filed under: Triticum aestivum (bread wheat)
Lineage: Eukaryota; Viridiplantae; Streptophyta; Magnoliopsida; Poales; Poaceae
Description: long non-coding RNA (TAES_LNC001086)
Source: RNAcentral